RNAcentral lists this ribosomal RNA (253 nucleotides) under uncultured bacterium. RNAcentral's name for it is "partial 16S ribosomal RNA". It matches the Rfam family "Bacterial small subunit ribosomal RNA", at positions 524 to 776 of the family's 1533-position model. The record is from RNAcentral.
UACGUAGGGUGCGAGCGUUAAUCGGAAUUACUGGGCGUAAAGCGUGCGCAGGCGGCUUCGCAAGUCAGACGUGAAAUCCCCGGGCUUAACCUGGGAAUGGCGUUUGAAACUACGGAGCUGGAGUAUGGCAGAGGGGGGUGGAAUUCCACGUGUAGCGGUGAAAUGCGUAGAUAUGUGGAGGAACACCGAUGGCGAAGGCAGCCCUCUGGGCCAAUACUGACGCUCAUGCACGAAAGCGUGGGGAGCAAACAGG